Molecule: non-coding RNA, 202 nt
Organism: Pelobates cultripes (western spadefoot toad)
Lineage: Eukaryota; Metazoa; Chordata; Amphibia; Anura; Pelobatidae
Source: the annotation of a GenBank genome assembly
UAAUAAAAGAUGACAAAAUAGAUAAUCUAGGGGGCCUGACCACCGACAGAGAUGGCUACAUGGUGCUGAAGCUCCUCGGGAAUAUCUGUAUUUAUAGCAACAAGAUGGACUUUGCUGCUCUUUUUGUGGGCUUACUUACACUCUCACAACUGUGGAGAAUACCGCAGAGAUCCUGGCACAUUUGAGCCUGUAGACACAACCC